RNAcentral lists this ribosomal RNA (253 nucleotides) under uncultured bacterium. Its description in RNAcentral is "partial 16S ribosomal RNA". It matches the Rfam family "Bacterial small subunit ribosomal RNA", at positions 524 to 776 of the family's 1533-position model. The record is from RNAcentral.
UACAGAGGUCUCAAGCGUUGUUCGGAUUCAUUGGGCGUAAAGAGCGUGUAGGCGGCCAGAUAAGUCCGCUGUGAAAUCUCGAGGCUCAACUUCGAGCUGUCGGUGGAAACUGUCUGGCUAGAGUCCGGAAGAGGAGAAUGGAAUUCCUGGUGUAGCGGUGAAAUGCGCAGAUAUCAGGAAGAACACCCGUGGCGAAGGCGGUUCUCUGGGACGGUACUGACGCUGAGACGCGAAAGCGUGGGGAGCGAACAGG